This 85-nucleotide transfer RNA is filed under the name Felis catus (domestic cat). It matches the Rfam family "tRNA". Rfam says of the family: Transfer RNA (tRNA) molecules are approximately 80 nucleotides in length. Their secondary structure includes four short double-helical elements and three loops (D, anti-codon, and T loops). The record is from Rfam by way of RNAcentral. Lineage: Eukaryota; Metazoa; Chordata; Mammalia; Carnivora; Felidae.
ACCUGGGUGGCUCAGUCGGUUGAGCGUCCGACUUCGACUCAGGUCAUGAUCUGGUGGUUUGUGGGUUCGAGCCCCGCAUCGGGCU